UGCUCCCUGGCCCAGCUGGUUAAGGCGCACGACUGUUACUAACGUAUUCAACUUUAGUUUCAUCGUGAGAUCGUGGGUUCGACUCCCCCGGGAGCAG
Molecule: non-coding RNA, 97 nt
Organism: Mycena epipterygia
Lineage: Eukaryota; Fungi; Basidiomycota; Agaricomycetes; Agaricales; Mycenaceae
Source: the annotation of a GenBank genome assembly